GGCUGUGGAUCAGUGGAAAAGCUUCUGCUUUGCACGCAGAAGGUCCCAGGUUCUAUCCCCGGCAAGGCCA
Molecule: transfer RNA, 70 nt
Filed under: Sphaerodactylus townsendi
Lineage: Eukaryota; Metazoa; Chordata; Lepidosauria; Squamata; Sphaerodactylidae
Description: tRNA-Ala
Rfam family: tRNA
About the family: Transfer RNA (tRNA) molecules are approximately 80 nucleotides in length.
Source: RNAcentral